RNAcentral lists this ribosomal RNA (882 nucleotides) under Triticum aestivum (bread wheat). Its description in RNAcentral is "partial small subunit ribosomal RNA". Lineage: Eukaryota; Viridiplantae; Streptophyta; Magnoliopsida; Poales; Poaceae. The record is from RNAcentral.
AUGGCAGCGAUCAUGGCGGCGCGCGGGCAGGGGCUGGUCCAAGAUUUCGACUUCUUCGUGGUGGUGGACUUCGAGGCGACGUGCAUGAAAGACGUGCGGAUCUUUCCGCAGGAAAUCAUUGAGUUCCCCGCCGUGCUCGUCGACGGCGCCACCGGCCGCAUCGAGUCCGUGUUUCGCAGGUACGUUCGUCCAAAACAUCACCCUGUGCUGACCCAAUUUUGCAGGGAACUCACCGGCAUCCGGCAGGAGGACGUGGACGGCGGCGUGGAACUCGGCGAGGGGCUCUGGAUGCACGACUCUUGGCUGAAGGCGGCGACGGCGGGGGCAUGGAGCUUGGCCGUCGUGACCUGGGGAGAUUGGGAUUGCCGCAUCAUGCUCGAGUCAGAGUGCCGCUUCAAGGGGAUCGAGAAGCCCUCCUACUUCGAUCGCUGGAUCAAUCUGAGGGUCACCCUCCAGGAGGCGGUCCGGGCGGCGGGACUGGACUGGGAGGGCCGCCUGCACUGCGGACUGGAUGACGCGCGCAACACGGCGCGGCUUCUUGUUGAGCUGAUGCGGCGCGGGGUCAAGAUGACCAUCACCGGUUCGCUGGCGCCGCCGCCGCCGAUCCAGCAGAAGGAGCAGCAGCCGCAGUUACUUACAAGCCCUUGUGGUGGCUCAUCGGCGCCGUCGCUGAUCCAGCAGAAGCAGCAGCAGCCGCCGCAGCCACACAUGAUAAGCCCCUGCGAUGGCACCUCUGCGACGUGCUUCUGCUACUGCAGGGUACCGACCAGAGGAGGCGUGGUGUCCGUGCCAGGGCCGAUGCAGGGCAAGUGCUUCUUCGGGUGUGGCAACUGGACGCCGGCCAUGGGACCCGUGUGCCCCUACUUCGUAUGGACCAACUGA